GUUCUCGCCGGAACCGGAAGUUCUGGUGGGAGGGAGGGGCGGGGUGCGUCGCUUUGGGAAGCGCUGAGAGACCGACCUGGCAGUCUAACCUGUGGACCACUGCGGGGCUAGUAAUCUUCAUGGAAUCUCAGUUUACCCUUCUGAGAAGCGGGCGGCCAAUCCUCCGCAGGCCCAGCACAUAGAUGCCACAGCUGCACUCUUCGGCUUCCCUCCUGCACCCGAGGAACCCCUGGCCAGGGCGGGCAUAGUCGCGGAUUCCGGGUGUCAUCUCUGCCCAGACUGAGGGGGCACGGGGCCUCCAGAAGAAGGAGCCCUGCUCUGCCUGUCGAGUGCUGGCAGGCUUCUGGGAGAAGACAGCUUCGAGCUGAGGCCUGAGGGAUGAGUAGUAGUUCUUAUGCCCCGAGAGUGAUUGAAUGGGAGAGCCUAAGUCUCGAAUUUGAAGACCUUAGGACGCCACCACACGGAGCUCAGAGGAGGUUGCAUCUGACCUUAUUGUUGUAGUGACCCUAUUGUUAAUGGCCUGGGAGACUUUCAAGACGUUUAAAAUGUAUCGAGGGUGCUGACAAGACAGUGAAGACAUUUGGAUUUGAGUGCGGCGUCCCGCGUGUGUAGCAGUCUCCUAGACCCGCAGUGUAGGGGGCGGGGAUAGGGGGAUGACCCUGUGACCACCAUCCUGGCAGGAAGGGCGAGGUCCUGGGGACUGAGAAAUCUUGACUGGCUGGAAAGGCAUAUCCUGGAAGAAAAGGAAUCUGCAGAAUCUGAAGUGGGGGAAAUGGGGGUGGGGAGAAAUAGGGCAGAGUCAAGGACAACUUUGUGGUGUCAAGAUUAGGUGCCUGGGCUGCUGCUUGAGGGGCUCUUGCUCUCGUUUUCGACUCUUUGCGACCCCCUGGACUAUACUGUCUAUGGAAUUCUCCAGGGGAUCUUCCCAACCCAAGGCUCGAACCCAGGUUCCCCACAUUGCCUGGGCCCGGGGUGGCGGGGGCGGUGAUUCUUUACCAGCUGAGCCACAAAGUGAAAGUGAAAGUCGCUCAGUUGUGUGGACUCUUUGCGACCCCAUGGACUAUACAGUCCACGGAAUUCUCCAGGCCAGAAUACUGGAGUGGGUAGCCUAUCCCUUCUCGAGGAGAUGUUCCUAACCCAGGGAUCGAACCAGGGGUCUCCUGCAUUACAGGCGGAUUCUUUACCAACUGAACUAUGAGGGAAGCCACAGUGAGCCUUAGCCUGAGACUACAUUGGGUCUUUGUUUC
This is a long non-coding RNA of Bos taurus (domestic cattle), 1247 nucleotides long. Lineage: Eukaryota; Metazoa; Chordata; Mammalia; Artiodactyla; Bovidae. The record is from Ensembl.